GAUGAACGCUGGCGGCGUGCCUAAUACAUGCAAGUCGAGCGAACGGACGAGAAGCUUGCUUCUCUGAUGUUAGCGGCGGACGGGUGAGUAACACGUGGAUAACCUACCUAUAAGACUGGGAUAACUUCGGGAAACCGGAUCUAAUACCGGAUAAUAUUUUGAACCGCAUGGUUCAAAAGUGAAAGACGGUCUUGCUGUCACUUAUAGAUGGAUCCGCGCUGCAUUAGCUAGUUGGUAAGGUAACGGCUUACCAAGGCAACGAUGCAUAGCCGACCUGAGAGAGUGAUCGCCGACACGGGAACUGAGACAGGGUCCAGACUCCUACGGGAGGCAGCAGUAGGGAAUCUUCCGCAAUGGGCGAAAGCCUGACGGAGCAACGCCGCGUGAGUGAUGAAGGUCUUCGGAUCGUAAAACUCUGUUAUUAGGGAAGAACAUAUGUGUAAGUAACUGUGCACAUCUUGACGGUACCUAAUCAGAAAGCCACGGCUAACUACGUG
Molecule: ribosomal RNA, 497 nt
Filed under: uncultured bacterium
Lineage: Bacteria
Description: partial 16S ribosomal RNA
Rfam family: Bacterial small subunit ribosomal RNA
Source: RNAcentral